GGGGCCAUGGUCUAGGGGACUAGGACGCCUGGUUUUCAGCCAGGAGGACGGGGGUUCGAAUCCCCCUGGCCCUA
RNAcentral lists this transfer RNA (74 nucleotides) under bacterium HR14. It matches the Rfam family "tRNA". Rfam says of the family: Transfer RNA (tRNA) molecules are approximately 80 nucleotides in length. Their secondary structure includes four short double-helical elements and three loops (D, anti-codon, and T loops). Further hydrogen bonds mediate the characteristic L-shaped molecular structure. tRNAs have two regions of fundamental functional importance: the anti-codon, which is responsible for specific mRNA codon recognition, and the 3' end, to which the tRNAs corresponding amino acid is attached (by aminoacyl-tRNA synthetases). tRNAs cope with the degeneracy of the genetic code in two manners: having more than one tRNA (with a specific anti-codon) for a particular amino acid; and 'wobble' base-pairing, i.e. permitting non-standard base-pairing at the 3rd anti-codon position. The record is from Rfam by way of RNAcentral. RNAcentral also lists the same sequence under 1 other name.